RNAcentral lists this long non-coding RNA (3238 nucleotides) under Mus musculus (house mouse). RNAcentral's name for it is "long non-coding RNA chr11:83447759-83450997". Lineage: Eukaryota; Metazoa; Chordata; Mammalia; Rodentia; Muridae. The record is from RNAcentral.
GCCAUGUGAGUCAUACGGGCUGCAGAGGCUGGUCCCCACAGGCCCAGUAGGAUAGGUUGGCCCUGCCCCAGGGAGACCUUUUAUCUGAUAGGGAGCACUCAGCUCUUGCCUUGAGCAGCCAGCCUCCCAUUUGAUAGGCAGAAAGAUAUGUCACUGCUGAAGGGAGCUCUCGCCCUGGGCAGACCACCCUUCCCCAGGAGCAUCUCCAAUUUAUUGGCCUGGGAGGUCUGCUGAUAGAGAUGUCGCUUCUUCCAGGAAAAGGCCCCCUUCAAGGAUCAGUCUGAACUCCUGGUGUCCGGUCUCACUCUUUUCCACAGCCUAGGCUGAGUCUGAGGAAGCUACACGCCUCUUGCUGACUGACAGUCACUCUGUGAGGCCCAACCUCAGUGUCCGGAUGGAGAGACAGUAGGGGUCACUGAGGUCACAGCUGUGCCUGCCUCAGGCGCUCUAUCCACCCUCACAGUCUCCUGCCACCUCCCAGAGGCUCCACUCUGGACUUGCCAGAAUCUAGGGCCGGCAGCUGGCCAACAACCAAAAGAAAAAAAACCAACAAAAAACCCCCAUAUAUGCAAGUUCCUUGACCUCCUUCCCCGCUUCUCCGGGGACUCUGGAGAGCUCCCGAGUUGAAGACAAAUAAGAACAAAGGGUGUGUUUUGUCACAGGCCCAAAUAAGUUUUCCAUCUCUUCUUUCUUAAGUUGCUUUCCCUUUGGCCCAAGCCUCAGAUCCUCCCUGAAGGCUGGGACUCUGGCCUCUGCUGCAGCCCUAGGUCAUUCAUUUACAUUGGACCCAUCUGCGUUUGCCGUGCAGCCAGGAGCAGAGUAGCCAGAAUGUCUGGCUUCUGGGUUUGUCAGGGAUGGCCCCUGGGCCCUAAACCUCAGAGUCUGAAAUCCCAAAUGGAAGCCUCAUCGCUUUCAGGCAAGAUUCCUGGGGUCCAGACUUGGAUGCCUGUGACCCCCCCGGGGGGGGGGGAGCUGCCCACAGCUGCAGAGUGAGAUAGGAACUGAGUUGGACACCCCCUCCCCGCACCCCUUCCCGGCCCAGUACUCCUACUGUACCACAUAGAUAAGCAAGCAAUCCUCUCGGCAGAGAUGCCAGGCCUAUACAUGUGCCUAAACAUCACUUGGUCGGUCAAAGCUUAGCAAGGACUGAGAUUUCCCUAGAUGGAAGGGAGGUCCCUUCUGGCCCUUCUCUACCCAGGGAGAGGGGGUGGGGUGUGCCCCACUCUAUUCAAAGCAAUGCUUCUCUUUGAGCAUGUUUGGCCUGGCAGCCACCCAACUACUGCCUCUCAGCCAGUGACCAGUCCUUAGGGUGUGAAGAGGGAAUUAUUUUGAGGGAGAGAGGGGGACAAGGGAAGGUGAAAGCAAGGCUGGGGUCCUGUGGUGUCUACCUAGGACAGGUCCAUUCUUUACUAAGAACAAUCUGCUGCUUGCUUUAAAUCCCCUCAGGACACAGAGUAGCUGCACUAGGCUUUCUUACAUCCUGUUGUAACUCUUAAGACUCUCCCAGACCACCAUCACCAAAGCAAACCUUUAACCUUCUAGCAAAUGGUACCAGGUGGCUCCUUCUGCGGUCAUCCCCUCUCCACCCCCAGCAGGAAAGAGGGAGGGUGGUAGUUAUCUUAAUGGCCAAUGAAGGUUAUAGGUCUCCAGAAAAGAAUCCUCUGUGACGUGGGGUGGGGGAAGGGUAGGGAGAAUGACUAGGAACAGGAAUUGGGGGAGGGGGAGAAGAGUGCUUUCCUUGGGAGGGGCCAGGAAGGAAGGAACUGCCCAUGUGCUGGUAGGCUGAAACCCUGUCCUCUUUGACCUUGGCCCCGAGGAGAUCCUGCCAGUUUGAGGUCCUAGUCUCAAGUCCUGCCUGGCCACGGCUGUUUUUUCAUAACCCCAGGCCCUAUGCAUGUGGUAUUGCCUGCUGCACCCUCUCUCCAGGGUCCCAAAAGGGACUAGAGAAGGGCAGGAGCUACGGAGGGCAGGAAUGGGGAAGCUAGAAGUUUGGGGCGGGAAGGAUAGUGGAGUCCUGAGUCCCAGCAGGCAACUGAUGAUUGGAAGGGUUCUAGGCAGAAAGUGUAGUCCUGCACAUGCAAGCUCCCAGGAAUUGGUGGAAUCUCUCCAGGCCUCAGUUUCCCCCUCUGUACAGUGGUGUUGCUAAGGCUUACCUUUUGGAAUGGUAUCAGGAAACUGUCUGAAAUGUGGCGAGGGCUUAGCAAACGCCCACUCGCUUUGAUUUCCCUUUCCAACUCUGAUGUACCAACCCCAUCCUCACCCCACCAACUCUGAGAAGGAAAGGAAAACUUCCCAACUCUGUGAACUAGAAACCAGCCCUUCAUGCACAGAGAGGAGCAGGUACUUGGGCCCGAGGGUCCAGAGGCAGAACAUAUGAAUCUAGUAUGCCCAGUAAAAUUUGAACAUGAAAAUAUAAAUACAGUUCCUUAUUACUCAUCUGAGUUCAAUUUUAUCUAGGCAUCCCGCAUUUCUCUGACAAUCAGGUAGUCCCAACUGCUAGCUAUGAAUGCACUAAGUUAGCUCCUACCUUGGGAGUAGGAGAAGGUAAGACCCAGCCAGAAAGAAGCAACCCCAGAACUCAGGCUCAAGUGUUUCUGGGCCUGCUCACUUCCCACUGCAUGCCCACGGGUUAUCUAGCACUUGGUAGUCCGGGAUGGCUCUCCUUUGCAACCCAGGAAGGACUGACCCUUGUGUGAGGGAGGAGGAAGGAUCAGAACUGAGUACCAUGACUUGGUUGUGACAACUGACAACUGAUAUUGGAGCCUCAAGCCUCAGACUCCAGUGUCCUCUCUGCUCUGGCCUGCUGUGAGAGAGGGAGAGGAGGGAAAGGAGGAAGGAGAAGAGAGAAGGACUGUGAUAUAGGUCAGAGGCAUCACUCAUGGCUCUGGGUUCAAAUCCCCCUCUGGAAAGGAAGUAGCAGGAAGGGGAGAGAACACAGGGCAGCUUCCAACAGGAGAAACUGGGCAGAGUACACAAUGGGCUGUGAUGAAAUGUUCAAAAUAGACAGAACAGCAGAUUAGUGGUUGCCAGGGCUGGCAGCAGUGCACAAUGAGGAGCUAACUGCUAAUGGGCAUGGUAUUUCUUCAGAGGAAAACUAAACGUUCUGGAAGGAGGGAUUAGCUUGUGGUAAUGGUUGGACAAUUCUACAAAUAUACUAAACUGCAUUGAAUUGGAUACUUUAAAUGGGUAAAUUGCAUGGUGUGUUAAUUCUAAAUAAAACUAGUUGUUUUUCUUUUUU